AGAGUUUGAUUAUGGCUCAGGAUGAACGCUGGCGGCGUGCUUAACACAUGCAAGUCGAACGGAGUUUUUAAACGGAAGUUUUCGGAUGGAAGUUUAGAAACUUAGUGGCGGACGGGUGAGUAACGCGUGGGUAACCUGCCUCAUACAGGGGGAUAACAGUUAGAAAUGACUGCUAACACCGCAUAAUAUAGCGAAACCGCAUGAUUUUGCUAUCAAAUAUUUAUAGGUAUGAGAUGGGCCCGCGUCUGAUUAGCUAGUUGGUGGGGUAAAGGCCUACCAAGGCGACGAUCAGUAGCCGGCUUGAGAGAGUGACCGGCCACAUUGGGACUGAGACACGGCCCAAACUCCUACGGGAGGCAGCAGUGGGGAAUAUUGGACAAUGGGGGAAACCCUGAUCCAGCCGACGCCGCGUGAGUGAAGAAGUAUUUCGGUAUGUAAAGCUCUAUCAGCAGGGAAGAUAAUGACAGUACCUGACUAAGAAGCCCCGGCUAACUACGUGCCAGCCGCCGC
This 510-nucleotide ribosomal RNA is filed under the name uncultured bacterium. Its description in RNAcentral is "bacterial SSU rRNA". It matches the Rfam family "Bacterial small subunit ribosomal RNA", at positions 8 to 518 of the family's 1533-position model. The record is from RNAcentral.